GAUCAUGGCUCAGGACGAACGCUGGCGGCGUGCCUAACACAUGCAAGUCGAGCGAGGAGAUCCUUCGGGAUGAUCCUAGCGGCGGACGGGUGAGUAACACGUGGGCAACCUGCCUCAUAGAGAGGAAUAGCCUUCCGAAAGGGAGAUUAAUACCUCAUAACAUUGCAGUUUCGCAUGGAACAGCAAUUAAAGGAGCAAUCCGCUAUGAGAUGGGCCCGCGGCGCAUUAGCUAGUUGGUGAGGUAACGGCUCACCAAGGCGACGAUGCGUAGCCGACCUGAGAGGGUGAUCGGCCACAUUGGGACUGAGACACGGCCCAGACUCCUACGGGAGGCAACAGGUGGGGAAUAUUGCACAAUGGGGGAAACCCUGAUGCAAGCAACGCCGCGUGAGUGAUGACGGCCUUCGGGUUGUAAAGCUCUGUCUUCAGGGACGAUAAUGACGGUACCUGAGGAGGAAGCCACGGCUAACUACGUGCCAGCAGCGGC
Molecule: ribosomal RNA, 487 nt
Filed under: uncultured bacterium
Lineage: Bacteria
Description: bacterial SSU rRNA
Rfam family: Bacterial small subunit ribosomal RNA
Source: RNAcentral